This 468-nucleotide ribosomal RNA is filed under the name uncultured bacterium. RNAcentral's name for it is "partial 16S ribosomal RNA". It matches the Rfam family "Bacterial small subunit ribosomal RNA", at positions 28 to 507 of the family's 1533-position model. The record is from RNAcentral.
GACGAACGCUGGCGGCGUGCUUAACACAUGCAAGUCGAACGGAAAGGCCCUGCUUUUGUGGGGUGCUCGAGUGGCGAACGGGUGAGUAACACGUGAGUAACCUGCCCUUGACUUUGGGAUAACUUCAGGAAACUGGGGCUAAUACCGGAUAGGAGCUCCUGCUGCAUGUUGGGGGUUGGAAAGUUUCGGUGGUUGGGGAUGGACUCGCGGCUUAUCCGCUUGUUGGUGGGGUAGUGGCUUACCAAGGCUUUGACGGGUAGCCGGCCUGAGAGGGUGACCAGCCACAUUGGGACUGAGAUACGGACCAGAAUCCUACGGGAGGCAGCAGUGGGGAAUAUUGCACAAUGGGCGGACGCCUGAUGCAGCAAUGCUGCGUGCGGGAUGACGGCCUUCGGGUUGUAAACCGCUUUGGACUGUGACGAAGCGUGAGUGACGGUAAUGGGUAAAGAAGCACCGGCUAACUACGUG